UCUCUCUAAGUGUUUGUAAGGUUGUUUUGAAUUGGACUCUUGGUAAGAGGUAACUUGUGCAGAUGUGAUAGCACAAAGGGUAAAGCAAAAUAGAAUUGAUUAAUUCAAUGAUAGCAAAGUUGCAUUGUUACAAGCCUAUGUGAGGCGAAUGUAAAUAAAUACCGCUAAACAAAUAAAUUGACUUGAUAAA
This is a non-coding RNA of Erythranthe guttata (spotted monkey flower), 190 nucleotides long. The record is from RefSeq and is a predicted model, not a curated record. NCBI's taxonomy places the organism in Eukaryota, Viridiplantae, Streptophyta, Magnoliopsida, Lamiales, Phrymaceae.